AGGACAAACGCUGGCGGCGUACCUAAGACAUGCAAGUCGAACGAGGCUUCCGGCUUCGGUUGGGAGGCGAGUGGCGAACGGGUGAGUAACACGUAGGAACCUAUCAGUGCGUGGGGGAUACCGCUGGGAAACCGGCGCUAAUACCGCAUAGGGUCCCGGGGAACCGGGAGCAAAGCCGCAAGGCGCGCACUGAGGGGCCUGUGGCCGAUUAGCUGGUUGGUGGGGUAAAGGCCUACCAAGGCGACGAUCGGUAGCUGGU
Molecule: ribosomal RNA, 259 nt
Filed under: uncultured bacterium
Lineage: Bacteria
Description: partial small subunit ribosomal RNA
Rfam family: Bacterial small subunit ribosomal RNA
Source: RNAcentral